RNAcentral lists this ribosomal RNA (660 nucleotides) under Salmonella enterica subsp. enterica serovar Rubislaw. RNAcentral's name for it is "partial 23S ribosomal RNA". It matches the Rfam family "Bacterial large subunit ribosomal RNA", at positions 580 to 1240 of the family's 2925-position model. Lineage: Bacteria; Pseudomonadati; Pseudomonadota; Gammaproteobacteria; Enterobacterales; Enterobacteriaceae. The record is from RNAcentral.
CAGGUUUACCUGUGUGACUGCGUACCUUUUGUAUAAUGGGUCAGCGACUUAUAUUCUGUAGCAAGGUUAACCGAAUAGGGGAGCCGGAGGGAAACCGAGUCUUAAUUGGGCGUUAAGUUGCAGGGUAUAGACCCGAAACCCGGUGAUCUAGCCAUGGGCAGGUUGAAGGUUGGGUAACACUAACUGGAGGACCGAACCGACUAAUGUUGAAAAAUUAGCGGAUGACCUGUGGCUGGGGGUGAAAGGCCAAUCAAACCGGGAGAUAGCUGGUUCUCCCCGAAAGCUAUUUAGGUAGCGCCUCGUGAAUUCAUCUCCGGGGGUAGAGCACUGUUUCGGCUAGGGGGCCAUCCCGGCUUACCAACCCGAUGCAAACUGCGAAUACCGGAGAAUGUUAUCACGGGAGACACACGGCGGGUGCUAACGUCCGUCGUGAAGAGGGAAACAACCCAGACCGCCAGCUAAGGUCCCAAAGUCAUGGUUAAGUGGGAAACGAUGUGGGAAGGCCCAGACAGCCAGGAUGUUGGCUUAGAAGCAGCCAUCAUUUAAAGAAAGCGUAAUAGCUCACUGGUCGAGUCGGCCUGCGCGGAAGAUGUAACGGGGCUAAACCAUGCACCGAAGCUGCGGCAGCGACACUCAGGUGUUGUUGGGUAGGGGAGCGUU